UGACCUGGGUGUGCGAACUUUGUUCUAGACUUGAUUUGAAUUUCGAUGUUCUUUCCCAGUUGUGUUACAGUUCUAUUGUGCCAUUGGUUUGUGCUUUAUACACUUGCCUAUUUGGCGUUUUAAUGAAAUGAGAUAUCAAUUCGAAAAGAAAAAAAUGCACUCCCGAACAGAAAAGUGGGGCUACAUACUGCAUUUUGCCAAGAAAUAUUUUCUAAAUCAAGUAUGGAAAUUGGGUACCAUGUGAAAUAAAGAAUUGAAUUGGUCAUUUUCUAUUUCUUUUUUUAUAUUUAAAAUGUACUCUUUUUAUUUAUUUAUUUUAAAUUUGGGGUUGGCAAUGUGACUUUUUCCUGGCAUGAUAAUUGGCGCCGAGAGGGGCCUUGGGCUCUCCUGGUGUGGCCUAACAAGAAAGAAGGGUCAGGUUCUUGGUUGGUCUUGGGCUUCCUUAUGGGUUGUUGGGCCUUUCAGCCUAGUGAUUGUAUUUUCUUUUUGGGGCUUAUUGACCUUUUUAUUACUUGGCCACCCAGAUCCAAUUUAAUCCGACAUGGUUUAAGAUCCGAUCCAAUUAAUUUUGAACUAUUGGUUAGAUAAUUAAUGAUACGAAAAAGUAUCAAUUCUUGUCAAAAUUAAUGCAAUCAAACAUUUUAAUAGAUGGCAAUGGCACCAUAGUGGAAAAGUGAGCCAAAUUCUCUCAUUUCUUUCCUUCCAAAGUAGAUCUAAAAUUGAUUCACAUAAGAGAUAAUCUUGAAGCAACGAAAUAUAUUACUCUCCCAUCCCCCCACUCCCUA
RNAcentral lists this long non-coding RNA (785 nucleotides) under Prunus persica (peach). RNAcentral describes it as "long non-coding RNA (PPER_LNC005696)". Lineage: Eukaryota; Viridiplantae; Streptophyta; Magnoliopsida; Rosales; Rosaceae. The record is from RNAcentral.